Molecule: unclassified non-coding RNA, 343 nt
Filed under: soil metagenome
Description: partial contains 5.8S ribosomal RNA, internal transcribed spacer 2, and large subunit ribosomal RNA
Rfam family: 5.8S ribosomal RNA (bases 1-120)
Source: RNAcentral
GAUGAAGAACGUAGUGAAAUGCGAUACGUAAUGUGAAUUGCAGAAUUCAGUGAAUCAUCGAAUCUUUGAACGCACAUUGCGCCCGCUAGUAUUCUGGCGGGCAUGCCUGUCCGAGCGUCAUUUCAACCCUCAAGCCCCCGGGCUUGGUGUUGGGGAUCGGCGAGCCUCCGCGCCCGCCGUCCCCUAAAUCUAGUGGCGGUCUCGCUGUAGCUUCCUCUGCGUAGUAGCACACCUCGCACUGGGAAACAGCGCGGCCACGCCGUUAAACCCCCAACUUCUGAACGUUUGACCUCGGAUCAGGUAGGAAUACCCGCUGAACUUAAGCAUAUCAAUAAGCGGAGGA